RNAcentral lists this ribosomal RNA (496 nucleotides) under uncultured bacterium. RNAcentral describes it as "partial 16S ribosomal RNA". It matches the Rfam family "Bacterial small subunit ribosomal RNA", at positions 29 to 507 of the family's 1533-position model. The record is from RNAcentral.
AUGAACGCUGGCGGCGUGCCUAAUACAUGCACGUCGCGCGCACGGACGAGAAGCUUGCUUCUCUGAUGUUAGCGGCGGACGGGUGAGUAACACGUGGAUAACCUACCUAUAAGACUGGGAUAACUUCGGGAAACCGGAGCUAAUACCGGAUGAUAUUUUGAACCGCAUGGUUCAAAAGUGAAAGACGGUCCUGCUGUCACUUAUAGAUGGAUCCGCGCUGCAUUAGCUAGUUGGUAAGGUAACGGCUUACCAAGGCAACGAUGCAUAGCCGACCUGAGAGGGUGAUCGGCCACACUGGAACUGAGACACGGUCCAGACUCCUACGGGAGGCAGCAGUAGGGAAUCUUCCGCAAUGGGCGAAAGCCUGACGGAGCAACGCCGCGUGAGUGAUGAAGGUCUUCGGAUCGUAAAACUCUGUUAUUAGGGAAGAACAUAUGUGUAAGUAACUGUGCACAUCUUGACGGUACCUAAUCAGAAAGCCACGGCUAACUACGUG